UGAUCGGGAGUUGGGAUUGAGUGGCUUCCAUCAAGAUCAGCAAAAUUGAAAGAAGGGAGCAGAGAGAGAAGAGAAAUAGAAGGGACGAAAGGGGAAGAUAUGUGAGCCGUGGAAAGAAGAGAGAAGAAAGAAAAGACCAUCAAGAUCAACAAAAGCGAAAGAAAAGAGCAGAGAGAAAAGAGGAAUAGAAGAGACGAAAGCAGAAGAUCUAUCCCUUUGUUUUCUACUUUGACAUCUGGGUAGCCAACUGCAACAGUUUCAAGACAUGGAGAAAGAUAACGAAAAUAGAAAUCUGUGGUCCUUGCAACAGUGAGAAUUUGGUUUGGUCAAAGCAGGUUUGGGAUAAGCAAAUUAUAAUUUGA
Molecule: long non-coding RNA, 362 nt
Filed under: Rosa chinensis
Lineage: Eukaryota; Viridiplantae; Streptophyta; Magnoliopsida; Rosales; Rosaceae
Description: sRNA RchiOBHm_Chr5g0033331
Source: RNAcentral